UAAGACGAACCGUGCGAACGUUAUUCGGAAUCACUGGGCUUAAAGCGCGUGUAGGCGGCCCGGCACGUCCGCCGCUGAAAGCCCCCGGCUCAACCGGGGAAGGGGCGCGGAUACGACCGGGCUGGAGGGGGGUAGGGGGGCCUGGAACUUCCGGUGGAGCGGUGAAAUGCGUUGAGAUCGGAAGGAACGCCCGUGGCGAAAGCGAGGCCCUGGACCCCGCCUGACGCUGAGACGCGAAAGCCAGGGGAGCGAACGGGAUUAGAUACCCCGGUAGUCCUGGCCGUAAACCAUGAGCACUGGGUAGGGGGCUCGCCGAUGGGCUCCCUGCCGCAGGGAAACCGUGAAGUGCUCCGCCUGGGGAGUAUGGUCGCAAGGCUG
Molecule: ribosomal RNA, 378 nt
Filed under: uncultured bacterium
Lineage: Bacteria
Description: bacterial SSU rRNA
Rfam family: Bacterial small subunit ribosomal RNA
Source: RNAcentral